GGGACUGUCUGGUUUCGACAUGUUAAUUGUACUUUAUAGAGUAAAUACAGAUACAAUAUGUGCUUUGACUUUAAUGUCAUAGCUCUUAAAAAUAAAUGCAAAAAAUCAUAUAAUUCCUUUAUCUCAAAAUUUAGUAUAUGCUUAAUUAAAUUUUGAGUAUCAGAUAAUAAAUCUGCAUACAUAUCUGAUUAUCAUACACUGCAGUACUCCUAAUCUAUUGUUUUAUAUAUUUCUUAAAUUUAGGUAAAGUCUAAAAAAUAUUAAGUAUGUCUAUUUUUAUAUAACUCUCUAAGACAUUAAUUAACAUGGACGUGGGUUCGAGUCCCACCAGUUCCA
RNAcentral lists this transfer-messenger RNA (336 nucleotides) under Sheathia arcuata. RNAcentral's name for it is "AKNHIIPLSQNLVYA". It matches the Rfam family "transfer-messenger RNA". From Rfam's summary of the family: Bacterial tmRNA, also known as 10Sa RNA or SsrA, is named for its dual tRNA and mRNA-like properties. Its role is to liberate the mRNA from a stalled ribosome. Lineage: Eukaryota; Rhodophyta; Florideophyceae; Batrachospermales; Batrachospermaceae. The record is from RNAcentral. RNAcentral also lists the same sequence under 1 other name.